Molecule: unclassified non-coding RNA, 211 nt
Filed under: soil metagenome
Description: partial contains 5.8S ribosomal RNA, internal transcribed spacer 2, and large subunit ribosomal RNA
Source: RNAcentral
AACAAGGCGUACCUGCGGACCUGCGGAGGGAUCAUUACAGGACUCGCAAGACUCCUUAAACCCCUGUGAACUUACUGUUUAUACGUUGCUUCGGCGGGUGCUCCGGGGUCCGCCCCGGGGCGCUGCGCCCGCCGGCAGCCUACUUAAUUCUGUUUCUCUGCGUUGGCAUCUCGAGUAAGCAAAAUAAGUUAAAACUUUCAGCAAUGGAUCU